Molecule: transfer RNA, 84 nt
Filed under: Bacteroidales bacterium
Lineage: Bacteria; Pseudomonadati; Bacteroidota; Bacteroidia; Bacteroidales
Description: tRNA-Leu
Rfam family: tRNA
About the family: Transfer RNA (tRNA) molecules are approximately 80 nucleotides in length. Their secondary structure includes four short double-helical elements and three loops (D, anti-codon, and T loops). Further hydrogen bonds mediate the characteristic L-shaped molecular structure. tRNAs have two regions of fundamental functional importance: the anti-codon, which is responsible for specific mRNA codon recognition, and the 3' end, to which the tRNAs corresponding amino acid is attached (by aminoacyl-tRNA synthetases). tRNAs cope with the degeneracy of the genetic code in two manners: having more than one tRNA (with a specific anti-codon) for a particular amino acid; and 'wobble' base-pairing, i.e. permitting non-standard base-pairing at the 3rd anti-codon position.
Source: RNAcentral
GCCGAAGUGGUGGAAUUGGUAGACACGCCGGACUCAAAAUCCGGUGAUAGCAAUAUUGUGUGGGUUCAAGUCCCACCUUCGGUA